This 799-nucleotide ribosomal RNA is filed under the name uncultured bacterium. RNAcentral describes it as "bacterial SSU rRNA". It matches the Rfam family "Bacterial small subunit ribosomal RNA", at positions 9 to 785 of the family's 1533-position model. The record is from RNAcentral.
GAGUUUNAUCCUGGCUCAGGACGAACGCUGGCGGCAUGCCUAAUACAUGCAAGUCGAACGCACGAAGUUGAAAAGCUUGCUUUUCGACCAAGUGAGUGGCGGACGGGUAAGUAACACGUGGGUAACCUGCCCAUAAGAGGGGGAUAACAUUCGGAAACGGAUGCUAAUACCGCAUAUUUCAAGUGACCGCAUGGUCGCUUGAUGAAAGGUGGCUUCGGCUACCACUUAUGGAUGGACCCGCGGUGCAUUGGUUAGUUGGUGAGGUAAUGGCUCACCAAGACCAUGAUGCAUAGCCGACCUGAGAGGGUGAUCGGCCACACUGGGACUGAGACACGGCCCAGACUCCUACGGGAGGCAGCAGUAGGGAAUCUUCCGCAAUGGACGAAAGUCUGACGGAGCAAUGCCGCGUAAGUGAAGAAGAUUUUCGGAUCGUAAAACUCUGUUGUUAGAGAAGAACAAGGAUGAGAGUAACUGCUCAUCCCCUGACGGUAUCUAACCAGAAAGCCACGGCUAACUACGUGCCAGCAGCCGCGGUAAUACGUAGGUGGCAAGCGUUGUCCGGAUUUAUUGGGCGUAAAGCGAGCGCAGGCGGUUCUUUAAGUCUGAUGUGAAAGCCCCCGGCUCAACCGGGGAGGGUCAUUGGAAACUGGAGAACUUGAGUGCAGAAGAGGAGAGUGGAAUUCCAUGUGUAGCGGUGAAAUGCGUAGAUAUAUGGAGGAACACCAGUGGCGAAGGCGACUCUCUGGUCUGUAACUGACGCUGAGGCUCGAAAGCGUGGGGAGCAAACAGGAUUAGAUAC